This 405-nucleotide ribosomal RNA is filed under the name uncultured bacterium. RNAcentral's name for it is "partial 16S ribosomal RNA". It matches the Rfam family "Bacterial small subunit ribosomal RNA", at positions 28 to 526 of the family's 1533-position model. The record is from RNAcentral.
GAUGAACGCUGGCGGCGUGCCUAAUACAUGCAAGUCGAGCGAAGCGGGGCCGGGUGAGUAACACGUGGAUACCUUUCUAUAUGACUGGGAUAAGUUCGGGAAACCGGAGCUCAAUCGGAUACUCAUAGAUGGAUCCUCGCUGCAUUAGCUAGUUGGUAGGGUAACGGCUGACCAAGGCAACGCUGCAGAGCCGACCUGCGAGGGUGUUCGGCCACACUGGAACUGAGCCACGGUCCAGACUCCUACGGGAGGCAGCAGUGGGGAAUCUUGCGCAAUGGGCGAAAGCCUGACGGAGCAACGCCGCGUGAGUGAGGAAGGUCUUCGGAUCGUAAAGCUCUGUUAGUAGGGAAGCGGUACCUAAUCAGAAAGCAACGGCUAACUCCGUGCCAGCAGCCGCGGUAAUUC